UUAAAGAAAUUAACAAAAUUAAUGAAAGAACAAAGGUAAGAAAAGUGCCCUAUGAUUGGCUAAAAUGAAUUGCAAUGGAAAUGUAGCAAGCGAAGAAAAAUGUCCUAAAAGUUGUAUACGGUAACACUCGUUUUGCGUGU
Non-coding RNA from Caenorhabditis elegans, 140 nucleotides. The record is from Ensembl. NCBI's taxonomy places the organism in Eukaryota, Metazoa, Nematoda, Chromadorea, Rhabditida, Rhabditidae.